CAAAAGGCUGUAUUCACAGCCAUCCAGGGUUUAAGAUCGCUACAGU
Dictyocaulus viviparus (bovine lungworm) is the source of this 46-nucleotide non-coding RNA. Lineage: Eukaryota; Metazoa; Nematoda; Chromadorea; Rhabditida; Metastrongylidae. The record is from Rfam.